UCCGAUGUGGUCUAGUGGUUAUGAUUUGCGGCUCUCACCCGCAAGACCCGGGUCCGAUUCCCGGCAUCGGAA
This 72-nucleotide transfer RNA is filed under the name Strongyloides ratti. RNAcentral's name for it is "tRNA SRAE_1000600054". It matches the Rfam family "tRNA". Rfam says of the family: Transfer RNA (tRNA) molecules are approximately 80 nucleotides in length. Their secondary structure includes four short double-helical elements and three loops (D, anti-codon, and T loops). The record is from Rfam by way of RNAcentral. Lineage: Eukaryota; Metazoa; Nematoda; Chromadorea; Rhabditida; Strongyloididae.